GUUGCCUUCCGGGCCCGUGCGCUCCCUGGCUGCUUCCCCCUGCCGUCAGCCCGCCUGCCGGGUGGAGGCGUCUAGUGGCGUCCUGAGCCCCCCGGGGGCCGCUCAGUGACAGGGGCUGCCCCGAGCUGGAGGGGGAUCCAGCGACCAAACCAGAGGAUGCACUGACCGCCCCUCCCCCCCAGGCCCAACCCUCCACCUGGCCUCAGUCCCGGGGUUCCUGGCGGGCUGUGCGGGGCGGGGGCGCGUCGGCGGGGGCAGCUUGCGAGGGUCGUUGGCCCCUGGAGGCCGAGGGGCAUGGCGCCAGCACGUCUGAGCCGGUGCCCGUGUCUGUCCGUGUCUGUAGGCUCGGGCGACAUGGACGGGUUGCCGAAGAGUUCCCCCGGCGCCGUGGCCGGCCUGAGCAACGCCCCGGGCACCCCGCGGGACGACGGCGAGAUGGCGGCCGCCGGGACCUUCCUGCACCCGUUCCCGAGCGAAAGCGUAAGCGACUGCGUCGACUCCCCCCCCGCGGCGGCGUCGGGCCGGAGGGGCUGGCGGGCAGGCCCCGGCGGGGCGGCCGGGGGGCCAGAGCAAGACCGUGACCGCGGCGGGCCAGUACUCGCCAGGGAUGACCAUGAGCGUGUGAUGGGGCGGCAGCCCCGGGCCUCUCUGCGGGCCUAGGCUUCUGCCCAGCGCCCCUGCUCAGGGCGAGGGGCUGAGGUCACACCUCGGGCACCUGGACUCCUGGCCAAUCAAGGCUUGCCCAGCUGGGAGGCCCCACACGAAAGACUCUUACCAUUUUAUUAAAAACGCAAGGACCUCAGAGACGUUCUUUUCUGUAUGGACCCUUCCUGCCAUUUGUAUUUUGUCCCAGAGAGAAAGGCUCUUUGGGGGGCCCCUCUCCCCAGGACGUCAGGGGGUGGGGCCCAUAAAUAAAUGGAAGCUGGUUUUGGUUUUUGGUA
Molecule: long non-coding RNA, 941 nt
Filed under: Homo sapiens (human)
Lineage: Eukaryota; Metazoa; Chordata; Mammalia; Primates; Hominidae
Description: long non-coding RNA NONHSAT062971.2
Source: RNAcentral